Molecule: ribosomal RNA, 442 nt
Filed under: uncultured bacterium
Lineage: Bacteria
Description: partial 16S ribosomal RNA
Rfam family: Bacterial small subunit ribosomal RNA
Source: RNAcentral
CCUACGGGAGGCAGCAGUGGGGAAUAUUGGGCAAUGGGCGCAAGCCUGACCCAGCAACGCCGCGUGAAGGAAGAAGGCUUUCGGGUUGUAAACUUCUGUUGUCAGGGAAGAGUAGAAGACGGUACCUGACGAAUAAGCCACGGCUAACUACGUGCCAGUAGCCGCGGUAAUACGUAGGUGGCAAGCGUUGUCCGGAUUUACUGGGUGUAAAGGGCGUGUAGCCGGGUUGACAAGUCCGAGGUGAAAUCCUGCGGCUUAACCGCAGAACUGCAUUUGAAACUGUUGAUCUUGAGUACUGUAGAGGCAGAUGGAAUUCCUAGUGUAGCGGUGAAAUGCGUAGAUAUUAGGAGGAACACCAGUGGCGAAGGCGGUCUGCUGGACAGCAACUGACGGUGAGGCGCGAAAGCGUGGGGAGCAAACAGGAUUAGAUACCCCAGUAGUC